Molecule: long non-coding RNA, 4641 nt
Filed under: Sus scrofa (pig)
Lineage: Eukaryota; Metazoa; Chordata; Mammalia; Artiodactyla; Suidae
Description: lncRNA (ENSSSCG00000056115.1)
Source: RNAcentral
UGCUGCCCAGGUGGCCUCUUCUCCUGGGGCCCAGGCUUCUAGGGUGUGAUGGAGGAGAGAUGGGGGUGGGGGGCGGCAGGGGGGGAAGCCCUUUAACCUCCCAUGGCCAGAGGUGCCAGAGCAUCUUACAGACCAGGGGCCUCCACGCUCUCGUUCCCUCCCCCCUGCUGUUUUGAUCACACUUCCUCUAUGGGUAAAAAUGUCUGAGCUUAUACGCUCCAUAUAAAUGAUCAUAAUGCUACAUUAUUGAAUAGCUCAUACAUGAAAAGAAGUCAGCAAGUUAAAGGAUGAAACUUUUAAAUGCAAAAGAGAAAUUGAGGUCUCCGUAUAAGACCACUUCCACAGACAGGCCAGGACCCUUCAGUCCUACGGUCUCCAUGAUGCCCUGAUGAAUUAUGACAUGAUUCCUAGAACUUGGGGCUUUAAAGACAAGGGAGCAGCCUCAUAGAAGACCUGAGCCCCAGUAGCCCACCAAAGUCUUUAGGAAGGCACGGAAAAUUCCCAUCUUACGUCGCCUGAAGGAUCACCUGUAAGGCGAAUUUGGGGAGAAGUCUUAGCACAUUCAGGGCUCAGAGAGUGGGACAGCGAGGGAAAAUGAUGACUCAUCUUGCCUCAUCCAUGAAACAGAGCAUCCCUGCUUCCUAGAAAGAAGGCAGAAGGAAUCCUUAGCAACCUCCAUGUUCUACCCUGUAGGAGUUUGGCAACAGCCAUGAUGGCAGGUAGGGUUAGGGUUAGGGUGAAGGCCAGGAGCUCCGAGGACUGCCCUCCCAGGCCCACAGUACCACAUGCUCCCCAUCCAUCCAAAGCCUGCUGAACACAGAGAGGAGGGCGGGGAUGUUGGGGCCGGGCAAGAGAGAAAGAGAUGGCAUGGGGGGUUUUAAAGUUGGCACCCCAAGGUGUCAACACAACAAGAGAGAGAGAAGAAAUCUUCAUAGCAGCGCCUGAUGAGGAUGUGCGUUUCUCAUUUAUUCCGUCAGUUCAACCCCUCAGAGAGCCAGGCACGGGGAAGUAGGAGAAGAGCUGCAUUUGGACAAGAGGCAGGUGGCAGAAGUGAUAUUCUGAGCCUUUCGCCCUCAGUUAAAUCAAGCUUUUAUGAUUUUAUGGAUUUUUGACACUGGAGUUCCAAGUAAGAUCUUUUCUGGAAAAAAAAAAAAAAAACGUUCUGCUGAAAAUCGUGAUAGUUGUUCCUACUGGACAUUGGGAAUUGGAUCAUGAGCUGUUACAGCCACCGACUGUACGGCUGAACUGAGCCCAAGUGGAGCCGGCCGAGCGACCCACUCAUCUGCUUCUGUGGUUCAUUUUCUCUUUGUGCAGAAGUAAGUGAGGAAGGGGAGCCUGAAGGGGGACCCUGAAGACCCUCAGCAAGAAUCACAGAAAGAGAAAAAAACAACUGAAACAUUCAGAGGGAGACUAGCAAUAAAAAUGUCUUGCAGCCAAACCCGGAAGAAGAUUUUAGAAAACUCUUUGGCACCUUCAAUAAACAAAGUUUCUAUGAAACCGAAGUAGAAAACCAUAAGGAAAACAAAAAUGAGAUAAAAAGGAAUAGAAGGGCAAGGAAACUACUAUAUUAACGGUACGAUUAAAAUCAUCUGAGUUGGAGGCCAUAAAAAACGAAAUGCCCAGAAAAUUAAAUCAUUGACAUGGAGGAUAAACUGCAGCCGUCUUUACAAAGAGCAGAGGAAGUGGCAAAAGCAAUAAAGAUUAUGAGAAAGGAAAUGAUGCACUUGGACGAUAAAUAAUAGAGACGGAGUCCAAGAAGCAUAGGCUGUUCUAAGCAAGAAACACAAAUAAAUGGGUGUAGAACCAAUAAAACAUAAUGGAAACAUUGCAGAGAUAUUUUAAACUAUAAGGAUGCGAACCCAGAAACAAACCGUAAAAGAAGAAACUAUCUGAAGCGAGGAAGGGCACGAACUCUCCAAACCGUCAAACAACAUCAACAACAGCAAAUAUACGGAUCACCAUAGCAAUGUGUUUGGGUAGAUACAUUGUUUUAAGUUUACAGAGCAUUACAAAAUUGCGGGGAAAUUUGUCUGUGAUAACUAUGGCCAAGGGUCAAUACAUUUGAUAUAAAAAUAACGUUUAAAGAUCCAUAAAAAUACAGACACCCCCUCAUAAGAAAUCUGGGCAAAGCUUAUAGAUGAAAUCAUUAAGGACCCAGAUAUGUGAUACAUAUCGGAAGCCAUGUUUAACUUCAUUGCUGAAAAUACCCAAACACCAAACAGGACUGACAGUAAAGUCUGUUUCUUAUGUUUGCAGUUUUUGUUUAAAGCUGUAAUCCUUAAGCACUCAAGGCACCUGUGAUGUAAGGUGGUUUUUGAAAAGCACGAUUUAAUUAGCACUGACUUUCUCCCAGGUGAAGGAGUCUUCUUGGCCUUGAGGUUUCCGUUUCACAUUUGCUUCCUCCAACGAGUUUUGUCUGACCACCUAGGCGGGGUGAUGUUCUCUUACUGGAAUUUUUCAUUGCCCUUCACAGUUCGUGGCAUUUAGCUCAACCAUAUUGUGAUUUAUUUAGUCAAUAGCUGGCACCUCACAGAGACGAUAAUAAUAAAGCUUAUCUUGGGAAUUUGCCUCGUGCUAGGCAAUAUUUAAGUGCUGUUUACAUGUUUUGUUAUGUUUAAUCCUCUCCAUCACCUUAUGAUGCAGAGUCUUCCAUUGUGCUUGUUUUAUAAAGGAGGAAGCUGCUGAAGCGCCCAGUCCUAGGUCAUGGACCCGGUACCUGCUUCCACCCACUCGAAGCUGCUGCUCCUGGUAUGCAAGCUGUAGGCAUCUUUUUGGAACUUUUUCCCAUCCAGACUGAUCAAACGGAAGCAAAGCUCUCUCCCUCCAGGAAGGGACUUGAUCUUUCAUUUUCUGAGCCUCAGGCAGCACCACAAACACCGUCCUCUAAGGCUCCACCAGCAAAUCAAGGCUAACAUCUUAAACAUAUAAAGCAAGUUCCUUUAAUUAAAAAGACUCAAAAUUCACCUGUGUUUUCUCCUUUGUUUAGUGAGCAAACCUUUUCCCUGGGACCACCACCUCCAUGUUUCAAGAUGCCACAUUCCACCACAAAGAUACAAAGCAAAGCUGGGGCCACUGAGGAAUUCGUGACCCAAACGUCCAAAUCCCCUUUUGGAUCCAAAGGAAAAUAUCCUGCCACUUUCAAAUGCUGUUUUGUAAAUGCCAAACAGAGGGAUAAGCGACAUGUUUUAUGGAUUCAGGACACAUUCGAGUGAUUAAAUCAAGUGAAAAUAGGGUUAUCUCCCUGUUCACAAGGAGUAGCUGGGAGUUUCUGGGAGUGGGGGGAACUGAGGCUAGGGCUUUCUGGGAGUGGGCAAAUGGAAAAGAGAGAAGGUUUUCUAAUUAACCUGCUGGUCUGUAACCAGCAGGGAGCAGGGAAAGAAUUGUUGAAGGUGCGCUAUUUUGUACAAUAAGGACACUGCUGUGAACUUCUAAUCUAUCACAACCCCUUCAAUACAGGAUUCUCUCUCUGUGUCUCCCUCUUACACACACACACAGACACAGACACAACCAACACAGCUCAGGGCAUUAAGAAAGCGAGCUUUGCUGUUAGGUCUGGGUUUGAGUCUGAGAUCUGCGACUUGCCUGGUGCCACUUUCUUAAACUAUUGUGCUCGGCCCUCUCAUGCAUUUGGGAUGAUAAAAGGGACGGCUUCGUUGGGUUGUAAUGAGAGGUUCAUGAGAUAAGUAGGCAGAGAACUUAGGAUGGAGCCUGAUGUGUCGUGGGCCUUCAGUACAUGUUAAGCAUUAAUAUUUCACAGCAGCAACCUGACCUGCCAGUGAAAAUGAUCCCUUCCUUUCUUUUUCAUUGUACCUUAAUUACAUUUUAUGGAAACAUGCUAAACUGCAGUGUAUUACUUUCCAGUCUUAUUCAAUAGACCAUAGGAACGACAGUGAGUGCUUUUGAUUUUGUUGGGCUUUUUUGGUGCUUAAUAUGCUUCACCAUACAAAUAUAAACACGGCAGGAGUCUAUAAAGUCAAAAUUGGAAGUCUGCUGGCUCUGCUCCUAUUCUCCAGGUAAACGCUCCUAGAGUUUGUGGCGUGUCCUUUGUGAUUUUGCGUUUUCUUAGAAGCGCCAUCAAAUGUUGAGAUGGAGCAGCUGCUCUCGUCUCCAGUUAUAACAGAGUGGGCACAAGUUUGCCUUUAUACUAACUGGUCCCAAUCAGCCAGUCCUUCCAAGUUCCAGGCCUGGUUCUCGGCCUUUCUGCUUCUCGAUGUGAGUGUCUGACUUUCCCACUCCUGCUCCUUCCCACAUUCGUUAUAGUUUUUAAUCCUUUUUGUUUAGACGACAAAAAAAUUAAAUUGAUUAUACGAGUGGGUUAGAAUAGCCAUUUCAGCUAUUUUGGAUAUGUAAUACAGUUCAUAUAUUUCUGAGUCUAUGAUUAUCCCAUGAAAAAGAGGGGUCGUGGAGUUCCCAUGGUGGCUCAGUAGAAAUGAAUCUGACUAGCAUGCAACAGGACGCAGGCUGGAUCCCUGGCCUCGCACAGUGGGUUAAGGAUCUGGCAUUGCCGUGAACUGUGGUGUAGUCGCAGACGCGGCUUGGAUCCCCUGUUGCUGUGGCUGUGGUGUAGGCUGGCAGCUACAGCUCCGAUUUGACCCCUAGCCUGGGAACCUCCAUACGCUGUGCAUGCAGCCCUAAAAAGAC